UACGUAGGGUGCAAGCGUUGAUCGGAAUUACUGGGCGUAAAGCGUGCGCAGGCGGUUAUGCAAGACAGAUGUGAAAUCCCCGGGCUCAACCUGGGAACUGCAUUUGUGACUGCAUAGCUGGAGUGCGGCAGAGGGGGAUGGAAUUCCGCGUGUAGCAGUGAAAUGCGUAGAUAUGCGGAGGAACACCGAUGGCGAAGGCAAUCCCCUGGGCCUGCACUGACGCUCAUGCACGAAAGCGUGGGGAGCAAACAGG
This 253-nucleotide ribosomal RNA is filed under the name uncultured bacterium. RNAcentral's name for it is "partial 16S ribosomal RNA". It matches the Rfam family "Bacterial small subunit ribosomal RNA", at positions 524 to 776 of the family's 1533-position model. The record is from RNAcentral.